Non-coding RNA from Stegostoma tigrinum, 979 nucleotides. Lineage: Eukaryota; Metazoa; Chordata; Chondrichthyes; Orectolobiformes; Stegostomatidae. The record is from the annotation of a RefSeq genome assembly.
CAACAUGAAGGGUCACGUCCUUGCGAUUUUGCUAACCGCUCUCCUCGGAAAAUCUGUCGCUCAAACGUUGACUCAGUCUCCAAUAUCAAUGACCAGAGCUCCGGGGAAGACUGUACGGUUUGAAUGUAGAUUUGAAGGGAGCGAUUUCGACAAUGCGGUUAUCCACUGGUACCGGCACAUCCCGGGUCAAAGUCCACAGCGCGUUUUAUAUUUCAAGAAUCCGUCUGAAACUCAGCAAGACAUCACCGACAAAAUACUAGUUGCCGAAAAAAAUUCUGAGUCGAAAACCUGCAGCUUGCUCAUGAGGAAUGUCAAGGAGGAUGACUCUGGGGUUUAUUACUGCGCUUACUGGGCUCACAGUGACAGAAAGUCGGCGGAACCCGCGCAAAAAGCGAUCGCUUUCCUGCUGAUUGUUUGCAAACUGUUAUCACACAAACGACAGCUUUACCUACCAGCAAAAUGGGAGAAAAUAUUAGACGAAACGAACAAACCUUAGAGUAAGAAGGCAAGUGUUUUACCCAAGAUUUGAAGCAGAAUCAACUUUCGUUGACAGGCGAAUGGGGAGUCAUGUUGUAAUUACCUGUGAGCUGAGUAAAUCAGUCGGUUCUUCCCCCAUCCACUGGUACAAGCAGGCAACAGGACAACGACCUGCCUGGUUGUUCCUUAACAAAGGGGAGGAUAAUGUAUUAAAUGGAAGAUUUAAAGCAUUGAAAUCUGGGCUCAGGCAACAUUAUCUGCGUAUUGAAAAAAUAAAGACGGAUGAUGCCGCCACCUAUUAUUGUGCCUACUGGGGUCACAGCGUGAAACAGUAAUUCAAUCCUCUUACAGAAACCCUCAAUCUUGCAUUUCAAACAUCAUGUCAAAACCACAGUCAUGAUUGAAAACAACCAUGACGUUCCUUCAACUAAAACGUAGACUCUCGAACAUUACAAGACACAAGUACGAAGUAAAUCGCUACUCUCGCCUCUCUUUGAAAGUA